ACGCUCGACACCUACGGGGGCAGCAGUGGGGAAUAUUGCACAAUGGGGGAAACCCUGAUGCAGCGACGCCGCGUGAGCGAAGAAGUAUCUCGGUAUGUAAAGCUCUAUCAGCAGGGAAGAAGAUGACGGUACCUGACUAAGAAGCACCGGCUAAAUACGUGCCAGCAGCCGCGGUAAUCUGAGCGGGCGUGGCGAAGGC
RNAcentral lists this ribosomal RNA (199 nucleotides) under uncultured bacterium. Its description in RNAcentral is "partial 16S ribosomal RNA". It matches the Rfam family "Bacterial small subunit ribosomal RNA", at positions 328 to 538 of the family's 1533-position model. The record is from RNAcentral.